Molecule: transfer RNA, 74 nt
Filed under: bacterium
Lineage: Bacteria
Description: tRNA-Gly
Rfam family: tRNA
About the family: Transfer RNA (tRNA) molecules are approximately 80 nucleotides in length. Their secondary structure includes four short double-helical elements and three loops (D, anti-codon, and T loops). Further hydrogen bonds mediate the characteristic L-shaped molecular structure. tRNAs have two regions of fundamental functional importance: the anti-codon, which is responsible for specific mRNA codon recognition, and the 3' end, to which the tRNAs corresponding amino acid is attached (by aminoacyl-tRNA synthetases). tRNAs cope with the degeneracy of the genetic code in two manners: having more than one tRNA (with a specific anti-codon) for a particular amino acid; and 'wobble' base-pairing, i.e. permitting non-standard base-pairing at the 3rd anti-codon position.
Source: RNAcentral
GCGGGUAUCGUAUAAUGGUAAUACCACAGCUUUCCAAGCUGUUGCCGGGAGUUCGAUUCUCCCUACCCGCUCCA